CUAUCUGCAGUCGAGCGAUGGAUUAAGAGCUUGCUCUUAUGAAGUUAGCGGCGGACGGGUGAGUAACACGUGGGUAACCUGCCCAUAAGACUGGGAUAACUCCGGGAAACCGGGGCUAAUACCGGAUAACAUUUUGAACUGCAUGGUUCGAAAUUGAAAGGCGGCUUCGGCUGUCACUUAUGGAUGGACCCGCGUCGCAUUAGCUAGUUGGUGAGGUAACGGCUCACCAAGGCAACGAUGCGUAGCCGACCUGAGAGGGUGAUCGGCCACACUGGGACUGAGACACGGCCCAGACUCCUACGGGAGGCAGCAGUAGGGAAUCUUCCGCAAUGGACGAAAGUCUGACGGAGCAACGCCGCGUGAGUGAUGAAGGCUUUCGGGUCGUAAAACUCUGUUGUUAGGGAAGAACAAGUGCUAGUUGAAUAAGCUGGCACCUUGACGGUACCUAACCAGAAAGCCACGGCUAACUACGUGCCAGCAGCCGCGGUAAUACGUAGGUGGCAAGCGUUAUCCGGAAUUAUUGGGCGUAAAGCGCGCGCAGGUGGUUUCUUAAGUCUGAUGUGAAAGCCCACGGCUCAUCCGUGGAGGGUCAUUGUAAACUGGGAGACUUGAGUGCAGAAGAGGAAAGUGGAAUUCCAUGUGUAGCGGUGAAAGUGCGUAGAGAUAUGGGAGGAAACACCAGUGGCGAAAGGCGACUUUUCUGGUCUGUAACUGACACUGAGGC
Molecule: ribosomal RNA, 724 nt
Filed under: Bacillus sp. (in: firmicutes)
Lineage: Bacteria; Bacillati; Bacillota; Bacilli; Caryophanales; Bacillaceae
Description: bacterial SSU rRNA
Rfam family: Bacterial small subunit ribosomal RNA
Source: RNAcentral